This 468-nucleotide ribosomal RNA is filed under the name uncultured bacterium. RNAcentral describes it as "partial 16S ribosomal RNA". It matches the Rfam family "Bacterial small subunit ribosomal RNA", at positions 28 to 507 of the family's 1533-position model. The record is from RNAcentral.
GACGAACGCUGGCGGCGUGCUUAACACAUGCAAGUCGAACGGAAAGGCCCUGCUUUUGUGGGGUUCUCGAGUGGCGAACGGGUGAGUAACACGUGAGUAACCUGCCCUUGACUUUGGGAUAACUUCAGGAAACUGGGGCUAAUACCGGAUAGGAGCUCCUGCUGCAUGGUGGGGGUUGGAAAGUUUCGGCGGUUGGGGAUGGACUCGCGGCUUAUCAGCUUGUUGGUGUGGUAGCGGCUUACCAAGGCUUUGACGGGUAGCCGGCCUGAGAGGGUGACCGGGCACAUUGGGACUGAGAUACGGCCCAGACUCCUACGGGAGGCAGCAGUGGGGAAUAUUGCACAAUGGGCGGAAGCCUGAUGCAGCAGCGCCGCGUGCGGGAUGACGGCCUUCGGGUUGUAAACCGCUUUCGCCUGUGACGAGGCGUGAGUGACGGUAAUGGGUAAAGAAGCACCGGCUAACUACGUG